Aegilops tauschii subsp. strangulata is the source of this 1103-nucleotide long non-coding RNA. RefSeq lists it as uncharacterized. Lineage: Eukaryota; Viridiplantae; Streptophyta; Magnoliopsida; Poales; Poaceae. The record is from RefSeq and is a predicted model, not a curated record.
GGUAAGGGUCAAUACGAGAGCGUCGAAGUGAAGGAAUCGGGCCAGCUGGUGUGCUAGUGAAUAUAUGGUCAGAGGUAAUAUAAAUUCAAGCCCCGUGUUGUGGCCUUUGUGACUGGGCCUAUUUCAGCCCACAAGACAAGGUCAAUUUUUUGUUUUUGCUCAAAAGAAAAAAGGGUCAACUUGUUUCGUGUGCAUUUUUCAAACUGUGUGCAUGCAAAACCAAAUGGCACCAGAGGGUGUAUACGAGCUUGUUUCUAAUAAUUUUCAGGUGGCUUUUUCUGCUCGUUACAUUGAGUGCUGAAGUUAUAAUAGAUAAUGGGUUAACAUUGUGGAAUCCUAAAGAAACAAAAUGUUGUGAUUAUUAUCAGAAAUGUUUUUCUUAAGUGGAUCUAUUAUGCUACAUGAUGGAACAACUACUAAUGGAGAUACACUUAAGUUCCGGAAGAUGCACAAUUUAAUGUCCAUUUUUUGCACAGCACAAUGUAAUGUGCUAUAUGUAUGGUAUUUCAGAGUGGUGAUUAAUUUCAAAUAUCAAAAUCUAGGUGACAUUUAAUAACACGUUCUCCAGAAGAUAUUUCUCUUGAUGCCCAAAACAUUAAUGUGAGAAAUAUUAUAAGAGCGAGAAUGGAUACUUCGAGACUUAUGCCUGUAUAUAAAUAACACAAUAAUAAACAUAGGUUGAGAAACAUCACCCAUAAAGAAUAUAGGGAUAGGAGGAAAAAGAAAUAAGAAACCACUCCUCAUGGCACAUAAGAAGAACAACACACAGGCUCUAUGUUUGGUAGUUCUUCUGAUGAUGUCUAGCACUUUAUGGUCAUGUGAAGCAAUUGCGAGAAACCAAGGUACAACUGGAUUGUGGACUUCAUGUACGCCUUUCCGAGCAUGCCAGAUACCAACGCCCAACAAUGUUGCUAUGUGCAAGAUUAGCUGUGAAUGGCGUGGUUACAGCUUUGAAAAAAGUCACUGCGACCGUUCUAUAUGGUGUUGUUGCGAAUGGUGAAUGCUAUGGAAAUGAUGGAUACAAUGUACUUUCAUGUGCCAAAACCUUGUGCUAGUAAGAUAUGGAAACUUAAAAUAAAUUAUACAAACUGAUUUUGGCUCGA